AGUGGCAGGGUGUGACAUUUGCAAUGCGUUAUGAUUAUCAUCUGUAAAUGCAUAUUCUGGCACUAA
This 66-nucleotide microRNA precursor is filed under the name Capitella teleta. Its description in RNAcentral is "Cte-Mir-277-P2_pre stem-loop". The record is from RNAcentral. Lineage: Eukaryota; Metazoa; Annelida; Polychaeta; Capitellidae.